This 273-nucleotide ribosomal RNA is filed under the name uncultured bacterium. RNAcentral describes it as "partial 16S ribosomal RNA". It matches the Rfam family "Bacterial small subunit ribosomal RNA", at positions 524 to 796 of the family's 1533-position model. The record is from RNAcentral.
GACAGAGGCCACGAACGUUGUUCGGAAUCACUGGGCAUAAAGCGCACGUAGGCGGCUAGGUCCGUCCAAUGUGAAAGCCCCCGGCUCAACCGGGGAAUUGCAUCGGAUACAGCCUGGCUUGAGGACGGUUGGGGUGAGUGGAACUCCUGGUGGAGCGGUGAAAUGCGUAGAUAUCAGGAGGAACACCGGUGGCGAAAGCGGCUCACUGGACCGUUACUGACGCUGAGGUGCGAAAGCUAGGGGAGCAAACGGGAUUAGAUACCCCCGUAGUCC